GUAACCGGCUACCAAGGCGACGACGGGUAGCUGGUCUGAGAGGACGAUCAGCCACACUGGGACUGAGACACGGCCCAGACUCCUACGGGAGGCAGCAGUGGGGAAUCUUGCGCAAUGGGGGAAACCCUGACGCAGCGACGCCGCGUGCGGGAUGAAGGCCUUAGGGUUGUAAACCGCUUUCACCAGGGACGAAGCGCAAGUGACGGUACCUGGAGAAGAAGCACCGGCCAACUACGUGCCAGCAGCCGCGGUAAUACGUAGGGUGCGAGCGUUGUCCGGAAUUACUGGGCGUAAAGAGCUCGUAGGUGGUUUGUCGCGUUGUUCGUGAAAUCUCACAGCUCAACUGUGGGCGUGCGGGCGAUACGGGCAGACUGGAGUACUGCAGGGGAGACUGGAAUUCCUGGUGUAGCGGUGGAAUGCGCAGAUAUCAGGAGGAACACCGGUGGCGACGGCGGGUCUCUGGGCAGUAACUGACGCUGAGGAGCGAAAGCGUGGGGAGCGAACAGGAUUAGAUACCCUGGUAGUCCACGCCGUAAACGGUGGGUACUAGG
This 551-nucleotide ribosomal RNA is filed under the name uncultured Actinomycetes bacterium. RNAcentral's name for it is "bacterial SSU rRNA". It matches the Rfam family "Bacterial small subunit ribosomal RNA", at positions 257 to 820 of the family's 1533-position model. Lineage: Bacteria; Bacillati; Actinomycetota; Actinomycetes. The record is from RNAcentral.